RNAcentral lists this unclassified non-coding RNA (240 nucleotides) under uncultured fungus. RNAcentral's name for it is "sequence contains ITS1". Lineage: Eukaryota; Fungi. The record is from RNAcentral.
ACUCGUUGCGUUGAAAUGACUUAGAGAAGCGCCAGCCUGGACCUUACGGGAGGGCCACCUGUACGCGCGGAGAAGGAUCGGUGAUAUAUAAGACGUCUGCACUUCCCUCUGAACACGGCAAACAUUUCUGAAAGCGCGUGAAAGGCACCUCGCUUAGGCAUCUGUAGUGGUGGUGGAUAUAUAGAAAGGAGACACUAUGAACGAGCAAGAGAACACGAAACUCGUGCAACAAGUCUACGA